This 233-nucleotide unclassified non-coding RNA is filed under the name plant metagenome. Its description in RNAcentral is "partial contains small subunit ribosomal RNA, internal transcribed spacer 1, and 5.8S ribosomal RNA". The record is from RNAcentral.
UUUCCGUAGGUGAACUUGCGGAAGGAUCAUUAUUGGAUUUUGAAACUUCAGGCCGCUGCUGGCUCUCCUCGGAGGGCAUGUGCACGCUUGUUGUCCAUUAUUUCUCCCACUGUGCACAAAUUGUAGACCUUUCAGUAGGCCUAUGUUGUUUUUCACAAUCUCUGAAUGUAAUAGAAUGGUUUUGAAUCUUGGGAAAUACAAUACAACUUUCAGCAACGGAUCUCUUGGCUCUC